Lotus japonicus is the source of this 366-nucleotide long non-coding RNA. RefSeq lists it as uncharacterized. Lineage: Eukaryota; Viridiplantae; Streptophyta; Magnoliopsida; Fabales; Fabaceae. The record is from RefSeq and is a predicted model, not a curated record. The transcript is spliced from 2 exons.
UGGGAACAGUUGUAGAUUCUCCAUUGGACUUCUUCUCAUGAAGAUUAACAAAGAAGGAGAGGAGAGCAUCAUUAGCAGAUGAGCUGCUUGCUGAUCAAAACCUUGUAGCCUAUAGGAAGCGGAAGGUUCGAGAAAUCGAAGAACAAAACAAACCAGCUGGGAAUGAAAAUUGGAAGAUUAAAGGCGGGAGUUCCCGGAAGCGAGCAAAAGAAAAGAGGAAUUGCUGAAUUUCCACCCUUUUUAAGAUGUAGACACUCUCCUAAAUGCUUUGAUCAGUUUAGAAUUAUUAUCAUUAUUUGAAAAUAUCCUAGUUAUCUGUAAAACCUAUUGAUGCUUUAGAAAAUGUUUAUUUUAUGGCUGAGUUGA